UACGGAGGGUGCAAGCGUUAUCCGGAUUUACUGGGUUUAAAGGGUGCGUAGGCGGGUUUGUAAGUCAGUGGUGAAAGCCUGGAGCUUAACUCUGGAACUGCCAUUGAUACUGCAUACCUUGAGUACAGUUGAGGUGGGCGGAAUGCAGCAUGUAGCGGUGAAAUGCUUAGAUAUGCUGCAGAACACCGAUUGCGAAGGCAGCUCGCUAAACUGUAACUGACGCUGAGGCACGAAAGCGUGGGGAGCGAACAGG
This 253-nucleotide ribosomal RNA is filed under the name uncultured bacterium. Its description in RNAcentral is "partial 16S ribosomal RNA". It matches the Rfam family "Bacterial small subunit ribosomal RNA", at positions 524 to 776 of the family's 1533-position model. The record is from RNAcentral.